RNAcentral lists this ribosomal RNA (253 nucleotides) under uncultured bacterium. RNAcentral's name for it is "partial 16S ribosomal RNA". It matches the Rfam family "Bacterial small subunit ribosomal RNA", at positions 524 to 776 of the family's 1533-position model. The record is from RNAcentral.
GACGGAGGAUGCAAGCGUUAUCCGGAAUGAUUGGGCGUAAAGCGUCUGCAGGUGGCAGUUCAAGUCUGCUGUCAAAGACCGGGGCUUAACUUCGGAAAGGCAGUGGAAACUGAACAGCUAGAGUAUGGUAGGGGCAGAGGGAAUUCCUGGUGUAGCGGUGAAAUGCGUAGAGAUCAGGAAUAACAUCGGUGGCGAAGGCGCUCUGCUGGACCAUAACUGACACUCAGGGACGAAAGCUAGGGGAGCGAAUGGG